Molecule: ribosomal RNA, 523 nt
Filed under: uncultured Ralstonia sp.
Lineage: Bacteria; Pseudomonadati; Pseudomonadota; Betaproteobacteria; Burkholderiales; Burkholderiaceae
Description: bacterial SSU rRNA
Rfam family: Bacterial small subunit ribosomal RNA
Source: RNAcentral
UGGUAGUCCACGCCCUAAACGAUGUCAACUAGUUGUUGGGGAUUCAUUUCCUUAGUAACGUAGCUAACGCGUGAAGUUGACCGCCUGGGGAGUACGGUCGCAAGAUUAAAACUCAAAGGAAUUGACGGGGACCCGCACAAGCGGUGGUUGAUGUGGAUUAAUUCGAUGCAACGCGAAAAACCUUACCUACCCUUGACAUGCCACUAACGAAGCAGAGAUGCAUUAGGUGCUCGAAAGAGAAAGUGGACACAGGUGCUGCAUGGCUGUCGUCAGCUCGUGUCGUGAGAUGUUGGGUUAAGUCCCGCAACGAGCGCAACCCUUGUCUCUAGUUGCUACGAAAGGGCACUCUAGAGAGACUGCCGGUGACAAACCGGAGGAAGGUGGGGAUGACGUCAAGUCCUCAUGGCCCUUAUGGGUAGGGCUUCACACGUCAUACAAUGGUGCAUACAGAGGGUUGCCAAGCCGCGAGGUGGAGCUAAUCCCAGAAAAUGCAUCGUAGUCCGGAUCGUAGUCUGCAACUCGA